AAAAAGCCGAUCUAAUCGAUGAACCGGAAAUAGAGGUGAUAAGCCAUGAUCAGCCUGAAGAAUGCCAACAACAGUGUUUUUACGAUAUUGACCACAAGGAUGCACAGGAACAGAUGCUGGCUUGCAAAUGGUUACAACAUCUGGAUCUUUUUGAAGGAUAGAAACUCCCCCAGCCAUCACUGGUGGUUCAUGCCUGUGUAAGAAGUGGCUUAUCUUUUGCGACGGUUUAACCAUGUAUGAAACGGGCACCAUCUCUCCAUCAACUUGUAUCCGUCCACAUUUGACAGCAUUAACAUAGUAAUCAUAAGGCCGGCCCUUGAACUCUUCAGCGAACAAAUCGACGAUGGUCUUUCCUGCCCAGCGAUUCUUAACAUGAGAGAUGAACUCGAAGUAGUAAGGCCUCACAUGCCGCCUCCGAUGUAAUCGCGUUUCUCAGGUGGGUUGGCCGGCGUUUGCCACACUAUCUCCAUGCCGUUUUUGUUUUCUUCUUCCCUCUUUCUCUUCAUUUCUCC
This 512-nucleotide unclassified non-coding RNA is filed under the name Hevea brasiliensis (rubber tree). Lineage: Eukaryota; Viridiplantae; Streptophyta; Magnoliopsida; Malpighiales; Euphorbiaceae. The record is from RNAcentral.